This 71-nucleotide transfer RNA is filed under the name Stegodyphus mimosarum. It matches the Rfam family "tRNA". Rfam says of the family: Transfer RNA (tRNA) molecules are approximately 80 nucleotides in length. Their secondary structure includes four short double-helical elements and three loops (D, anti-codon, and T loops). Lineage: Eukaryota; Metazoa; Arthropoda; Arachnida; Araneae; Eresidae. The record is from Rfam by way of RNAcentral.
GCCUUCGUGGUGUAACGGUAACACACUCGGUGUGUAUUCGAGAGGUCCAGGUUCAAAUCCGGCUGAGGGCG